UACGUAGGUGGCAAGCGAUACUCGGAAUCACUAGGCGUAAAGCGCAGGUAGGCGGUUUGGUAAGUCUUUUGUGAAAGCUCCCGGCUCAACUGGGAGAGGCCAAAGGAAACUACUAGACUAGAGUGUGGUAGGGGAUACUGGAAUUCCUGGUGUAGCGGUGAAAUGCGUAGAUAUCAGGAAGAACACCCGUGGCGAAAGCGGCUCUCUGGAACGGUACUGACGCUGAGACGCGAAAGCGUGGGGAGCGAACAGG
RNAcentral lists this ribosomal RNA (253 nucleotides) under uncultured bacterium. RNAcentral describes it as "partial 16S ribosomal RNA". It matches the Rfam family "Bacterial small subunit ribosomal RNA", at positions 524 to 776 of the family's 1533-position model. The record is from RNAcentral.